AGAAUCAACGCUGGCGGCGUGCCUAACACAUGCAAGUCGAACGAGAAAGGGUAGCAAUACCUGAGUACAGUGGCGCACGGGUGAGUAACACGUGACUAACCUACCCUGGAGUGGGGAAUAACUGAGGGAAACCUUAGCUAAUACCGCAUAAUACCUACGGGUCAAAGGAGCAAUUCGCUUCAGGAGGGGUCGCGGCCGAUUAGCUAGUUGGCGGGGUAAUGGCCCACCAAGGCAAUGAUCGGUA
RNAcentral lists this ribosomal RNA (244 nucleotides) under uncultured bacterium. RNAcentral's name for it is "partial small subunit ribosomal RNA". It matches the Rfam family "Bacterial small subunit ribosomal RNA", at positions 26 to 285 of the family's 1533-position model. The record is from RNAcentral.